Molecule: non-coding RNA, 461 nt
Organism: Rattus norvegicus (Norway rat)
Lineage: Eukaryota; Metazoa; Chordata; Mammalia; Rodentia; Muridae
Source: RefSeq, a predicted model, not a curated record
CCCCUCUCUCCCCUCUCUUCUCUUUCAGUUGUCUUUUUAAAAAAUCUGUUUCCUCUUCUACCAGGAUGUAAUGUCAGAGGCAGUGUCUCCCUCGCACCUAGCAGAACAUCUGUUACAUGGAUGAUCACAAGCAUCUAGGCUCUGACAGGCUUUUUAAUCAUCUGACCUGCUUCGAGUAUUUAUGAAACAGAGAAGAACCACAGGAAUGAUCUAGGGGCAGAUGGAUCGCUUUCCUAACCAGGUGUGGCCUCAUUGGAAGAAGUACAACACUGUGUACACAGGCUUAAGCUCUGCCUGGUGUGGAAUCAGAGCCUCCUCCUCGCUGCCUACAAAGGACAGUCCCUUUCUACUGCCUGCAAAUCAAGAUGUAGAACUCUCAGCUCAUCUAGCACCAUGUCUGCCUGCAGAUUGCCAUGCUUCCUGCCAUGAUGAUAAUGGACUGAACCUCUGAAACUGUAAGU